AGCGGAGCAUGUGGUUUAAUUCGAAGCAACGCGAAGAACCUUACCUAAGCUUGACAUCCCAAUGACAUCUCCUUAAUCGGAGAGUUCCCUUCGGGGACAUUGGUGACAGGUGGUGCAUGGUUGUCGUCAGCUCGUGUCGUGAGAUGUUGGGUUAAGUCCCGCAACGAGCGCAACCCUUGUCUUUAGUUGCCAUCAUUAAGUUGGGCACUCUAGAGAGACUGCCAGGGAUAACCUGGAGGAAGGUGGGGAUGACGUCAAAUCAUCAUGCCCCUUAUGCUUAGGGCUACACACGUGCUACAAUGGGUAGUACAGAGGGUUGCCAAGCCGUAAGGUGGAGCUAAUCCCUUAAAGCUACUCUCAGUUCGGAUUGUAGGCUGAAACUCGCCUACAUGAAGCUGGAGUUACUAGUAAUCGCAGAUCAGAAUGCUGCGGUGAAUGCGUUCCCGGGUCUUGUACACACCGCCCGUCACCCCACGGGAGUUGGAGACGCCCGAAGCCGAUUAUCUAACCUUUUGGAAGAAGUCGUCGAAGGUGGAAUCAAUAACUGGGGUGAAGUCGUAACAAGGUA
This 568-nucleotide ribosomal RNA is filed under the name Clostridioides difficile. RNAcentral's name for it is "bacterial SSU rRNA". It matches the Rfam family "Bacterial small subunit ribosomal RNA", at positions 931 to 1498 of the family's 1533-position model. Lineage: Bacteria; Bacillati; Bacillota; Clostridia; Peptostreptococcales; Peptostreptococcaceae. The record is from RNAcentral.